GCGCCCGGCCGCAGCUCCCGCCCGCAGCAUCGCCUUCGCGCCCGGCCGCCCGCACGCCCCGCCAGCCACUUCUGUGAGGCCCUCUGGACGGUGGCCGUGCAGGACGGGGUAGGACGGGGUAGACUGGUGGCAGUGGCGGCGCUGCUGCUGCCGGUGGUCGUGUUGCUGCCGCGGUGUCGGGGCGUCGCGGCGCAGCCCACGCCACGGUGCGGGGACGGCGACCUUGCCGCGUUGCGAGGGUUCUCGGCCGGUCUUGAUGCUCUGGUGGAUGGAUGGCCGGCCGUCGCUGAUGACGAUGAGGACGGCUGCUGCGCGUGGCCAGGCGUGGUAUGCGGCCGCGCGGGCGUCGUCGGGGUGGUGCUGCCGAACCGGGGGGAUAUGACCGCGUUGCUCACCGGGCUGACGGCGCUCCGCGUGCUCAACCUCUCCGGCAACGCGCUGCGGGGCGCGCUCCCGCCCGGCCUCCUCCGGCUGCACCGCCUCGAGGUGCUCGACGUCAGCUCCAACGCGCUCGCCAGCGCGAUCGGGCCCGAGCUCGAGCUCCCGGCGGCGCGCAUGUUCAACGUGUCGUACAACGCGUUCAACGGCAGCCACCCGGUGCUCCCCGGCGAGGCCCCGACCCCGCCGCCCAAGCCGCCGCGCCCCUCUCCUCCGACCCCUCCUCCUUCCCAGCCCUGCGCUCCGGCACGCCUCGCCGCGCCUCCGCCCACGCCGGCCCGCGUCCUCCAGCCCCGCACUUCGCGGGCGUCCGCCGCUUCCCCGAAUCACGGCCUCAUCUCCGGCCGUCGCGCCGCCUCCCCGAACCAU
Molecule: ribosomal RNA, 807 nt
Filed under: Triticum aestivum (bread wheat)
Lineage: Eukaryota; Viridiplantae; Streptophyta; Magnoliopsida; Poales; Poaceae
Description: partial small subunit ribosomal RNA
Source: RNAcentral